GUUCGCGGUAGCGACGCUCGCUCUGCUUGAGCGCCUCUUGCAUUCGGACCUCAUCAUCGAUGUCGAUGGAGAUUGCAAACCAUU
RNAcentral lists this small RNA (84 nucleotides) under Sinorhizobium meliloti 2011. RNAcentral describes it as "putative ncRNA". Lineage: Bacteria; Pseudomonadati; Pseudomonadota; Alphaproteobacteria; Hyphomicrobiales; Rhizobiaceae. The record is from RNAcentral.